Molecule: ribosomal RNA, 472 nt
Filed under: uncultured bacterium
Lineage: Bacteria
Description: bacterial SSU rRNA
Rfam family: Bacterial small subunit ribosomal RNA
Source: RNAcentral
GAUGAACGCUGGCGGCGUGCCUAACACAUGCAAGUCGAGCGAAGCGCUGUUUUCAGAAUCUUCGGAGGAAGAGGACAGUGACUGAGCGGCGGACGGGUGAGUAACGCGUGGGCAACCUGCCUCAUACAGGGGGAUAACAGUUAGAAAUGACUGCUAAUACCGCAUAAGCGCACAGGACCGCAUGGUGUAGUGUGAAAAACUCCGGUGGUAUGAGAUGGACCCGCGUCUGAUUAGGUAGUUGGUGGGGUAAAGGCCUACCAAGCCGACGAUCAGUAGCCGACCUGAGAGGGUGACCGGCCACAUUGGGACUGAGACACGGCCCAAACUCCUACGGGAGGCAGCAGUGGGGAAUAUUGCACAAUGGGGGAAACCCUGAUGCAGCGACGCCGCGUGAAGGAAGAAGUAUUUCGGUAUGUAAACUUCUAUCAGCAGGGAAGAAGAUGACGGUACCUGAGUAAGAAGCACCGGCUAA